UUAAAGGAAUUGACGGAAGGGCMCCACAAGAAGUGGAGCCUGCGGCUUAAUUUGACUCAACGCGGGAAAUCUCACCAGGCCAGGACACUGGAAGGAUUGACAGAUUGAGAGCUCUUUCUUGAUUCGGUGGGUGGUGGUGCAUGGCCGUUCUUAGUUGGUGGAGCGAUUUGUCUGCUUAAUUGCGAUAACGAACGAGACCCUUUCCUGCUAACUAGUCGAUACCGGCAUCCUUGGUGCAGCCGGCGACUCUCAAUCUUCUUAGAGGGACGGGUGGCUCCUAGCCGCACGAAACUGGGCAAUAACAGGUCUGUGAUGCCCUUAGAUGUCCUGGGCAGCACGCGCGCUACACUGAAGGAAUCAAAGUGUGUUUUCCUAGCCCGAGAGGGCCGGGUAACCCGCUCAAACCCCUUCGUGCUAGGGAUUGGGGCUUGAAAUUUUUCCCCAUGAACGAGGAAUUCCUAGUAAGCGGAAGUCAUAACCUUCUGUUGAUUAUGUCCCUGCCCUUUGUACACACCGCCCGUCGCUACUACCGAUUGAAUAUUUUAGUGAGGCCUUCGGACCGUGCCGCGGCGCCUUCGCGGGCCUGCGUUACGGAAAGAUGUCCGAACUUGAAUAUUUAGAGGAAGUAAAAGUCGUAACAAGGUUUCC
Molecule: ribosomal RNA, 648 nt
Filed under: Hemigryllus sp. FGu
Lineage: Eukaryota; Metazoa; Arthropoda; Insecta; Orthoptera; Trigonidiidae
Description: bacterial SSU rRNA
Rfam family: Eukaryotic small subunit ribosomal RNA
Source: RNAcentral